UACGGAGGAUCCGAGCGUUAUCCGGAUUUAUUGGGUUUAAAGGGUGCGCAGGCGGGAGAUUAAGUCGGCGGUGAAAUUUUGCAGCUCAACUGUAAAAGUGCCUUCGAAACUGGUUUCCUUGAGUGUAGAUGAAGUAGGCGGAAUUUGUGGUGUAGCGGUGAAAUGCAUAGAUAUCACGAGGAACUCCGAUUGCGAAGGCAGCUUACUAAGCUACUACUGACGCUCAGUCACGAAGGCGUGGGGAUCAAACAGGAUUAGAUACCCCCGUACGU
Molecule: ribosomal RNA, 272 nt
Filed under: uncultured prokaryote
Description: partial 16S ribosomal RNA
Rfam family: Bacterial small subunit ribosomal RNA
Source: RNAcentral